UGGGGGAUAGCCCGGAGAAAUCUGGAUUAAUACCCCAUGGCACAGCACAAGGGCAUCUGCGAGCUGUUAAAGAUUCAUCGGUAUGAGAUGGGCAUGCGUCUGAUUAGCUAGUUGGCGGUGUAACGGACCACCAAGGCGACGAUCAGUAGGGGUUCUGAGAGGAAGGUCCCCCACACUGGCACUGAGAUACGGGCCAGACUCCUACGGGAGGCAGCAGUAGGGAAUAUUGGGCAAUGGACGAGAGUCUGACCCAGCCAUGCCGCGUGCAGGAAGACGGCGUUCUGCGUUGUAAACUGCUUUUAUCUGGGAAGAAAAGGCCCGUGCGCGGGACAUUGCCGGUACCAGAUGAAUAAGCACCGGCUAACUCCGUGCCAGCAGCCGCGGUAAUACGGAGGGUGCAAGCGUUGUCCGGAUUUAUUGGGUUUAAAGGGUGCGUAGGCGGCUGUUUAAGUCAGUGGUGAAAGACUCCGGCUCAACCGGAGCAGUGCCAUUGAUACUGGAUAGCUUGAGUGUUGGAGGGGUACAUGGAAUUGAUGGUGUAGCGGUGAAAUGCAUAGAUACCAUCAGGAACACCGAUGCGAAGCAUUGUACUGGCCAACAACUGACGCUGAGGCACGAAAGCAUGGGGAGCGAACAGGAUUAGAUACCCUGGUAGUCCAUGCCGU
Molecule: ribosomal RNA, 665 nt
Filed under: Algoriphagus sp.
Lineage: Bacteria; Pseudomonadati; Bacteroidota; Cytophagia; Cytophagales; Cyclobacteriaceae
Description: bacterial SSU rRNA
Rfam family: Bacterial small subunit ribosomal RNA
Source: RNAcentral